This 613-nucleotide ribosomal RNA is filed under the name uncultured bacterium. RNAcentral describes it as "bacterial SSU rRNA". It matches the Rfam family "Bacterial small subunit ribosomal RNA", at positions 48 to 708 of the family's 1533-position model. The record is from RNAcentral.
CCUACACAUGCAAGUCGAGCGAGACCUUCGGGUCUAGCGGCGGACGGGUUAGUAACGCGUGGGAACGUGCCCUUCACUACGGAAUAGUCCCGGGAAACUGGGUUUAAUACCGUAUACGCCCUUCGGGGGAAAGAAUUUCGGUGAAGGAUCGGCCCGCGUUAGAUUAGAUAGUUGGUGGGGUAACGGCCUACCAAGUCGACGAUCUAUAGCUGGUUUGAGAGGAUGAUCAGCAACACUGGGACUGAGACACGGCCCAGACUCUUACGGGAGGCAGCAGUGGGGAAUCUUGGACAAUGGGCGCAAGCCUGAUCCAGCCAUGCCGCGUGAGUGAUGAAGGCCUUAGGGUCGUAAAGCUCUUUCGCCAGGGAUGAUAAUGACAGUACCUGGUAAAGAAACCCCGGCUAACUCCGUGCCAGCAGCCGCGGUAAUACGGAGGGGGUUAGCGUUGUUCGGAAUUACUGGGCGUAAAGCGCACGUAGGCGGAUUAGUCAGUCAGAGGUGAAAUCCCAGGGCUCAACCCUGGAACUGCCUUUGAUACUGCUAGUCUUGAGUUCGAGAGAGGUGAGUGGAAUUCCGAGUGUAGAGGUGAAAUUCGUAGAUAUUCGGAGGAACA